Molecule: transfer RNA, 73 nt
Filed under: Planctomycetaceae bacterium
Lineage: Bacteria; Pseudomonadati; Planctomycetota; Planctomycetia; Planctomycetales; Planctomycetaceae
Description: tRNA-Ile
Rfam family: tRNA
About the family: Transfer RNA (tRNA) molecules are approximately 80 nucleotides in length. Their secondary structure includes four short double-helical elements and three loops (D, anti-codon, and T loops).
Source: RNAcentral
GGGACCGUAGCUCAAUGGUUAGAGCAGAGGACUCAUAAUCCUUUGGUUCUGGGUUCGAGUCCCAGCGGUCCCA